RNA transcript from Hibiscus syriacus, 641 nucleotides. It is a transcript of the gene named 60S ribosomal protein L30-like, with no coding region annotated. The record is from RefSeq and is a predicted model, not a curated record. The transcript is spliced from 3 exons. NCBI's taxonomy places the organism in Eukaryota, Viridiplantae, Streptophyta, Magnoliopsida, Malvales, Malvaceae.
AAGUAUAAACAAAAAUGGUGUCAGACAAGAAAACGAAGAAGACCCAUGAAAGCAUCAACAACAGGCUUGCUCUCGUCAUGGAGAGUGGGAAAUACACUCUUGGCUAUAAGACAGUGCUCAAGUCCCUCCGGACUUCCAAAGGUUGUUUACCUUUUUCAAAUCUGAGCUCAAUUUCGUUUUCAUGCUUUUAGUUUUUUAUCAUUUGGGUUGCUAUUAGAUUUUUAAGAUGUUUUUUUAGUGAAGAAUAUUUGGGAUUUGUUGAUAUUUGAUAGGGAAGCUGAUUAUCAUCUCGAACAAUUGUCCGCUGAGGAAAUCUGAGAUCGAAUGCUACACGAUGCUUUGUAAAGUUGGGAUUCACCAGUACAAUGGAAGCCCAAUGUUCGGCCCAGUUUACGCAGUAACCCUAGUUCAUGGUUCCCAACUGAGCGCCGCAUACCCAAGAACUCCCCAUGCUCCACGCCUCGCCAGCCGCUCAACACACCCGGUUCUCUCGGUCACAAGCAACGGUCGUGGGUUCCAAGCAACUAACAAGCAUUCAAACAAUGAGUUUCAGUUUGUUUAGGACUCUAUGACUAAAAAUAGGAUGUAAAUAAACUAUAAAUGGAUGUAAUCAGAACCCAUCAGGGGACACUUUUUUUUUU